Molecule: ribosomal RNA, 468 nt
Filed under: uncultured bacterium
Lineage: Bacteria
Description: partial 16S ribosomal RNA
Rfam family: Bacterial small subunit ribosomal RNA
Source: RNAcentral
GACGAACGCUGGCGGCGUGCUUAACACAUGCAAGUCGAACGGAAUGGCCCUGCUUUUGUGGGGUGCUCGAGUGGCGAACGGGUGAGUAACACGUGAGUAACCUGCCCCUGACUUUGGGAUAACUUCAGGAAACUGGGGCUAAUACCGGAUAGGAGCUCCUGCUGCAUGGUGGGGGUUGGAAAGUUUCGGCGGUUGGGGAUGGACUCGCGGCUUAUCAGCUUGUUGGUGGGGUAGUGGCUUACCAAGGCUUUGACGGGUAGCCGGCCUGAGAGGGUGACCGGCCACAUUGGGACUGAGAUACGGCCCAGACUCCUACGGGAGGCAGCAGUGGGGAAUAUUGCACAAUGGGCGGAAGCCUGAUGCAGCAACGCCGCGUGCGGGAUGACGGCCUUCGGGUUGUAAACCGCUUUCGCCUGUGACGAAGCGUGAGUGACGGUAAUGGGUAAAGAAGCACCGGCUAACUACGUG